AGUGGAGCAAUCCAUGAGUACAGUGGCGUACGGGUGAGUAACACGUGGGUAUCUACCUCUUAGUGGGGAAUAACCCUGGGAAACCGGGGCUAAUACCGCAUAAGCCUGAAAGGGGAAAGUCGAAAGACGCUGAGAGAGGAGCCCGCGGCUGAUUAGCUAGUUGGUGGGGUAAAGGCUCACCAAGGCAAAGAUCGGUAGCCGGCCUGAGAGGGCACACGGCCACACUGGCACUGAAACACGGGCCAGACUCCUACGGGAGGCAGCAGUGGGGAAUCUUGCACAAUGGGGGAAACCCUGAUGCAGCGACGCCGCGUGAGCGAUGAAGCCCUUCGGGGUGUAAAGCUCUUUCGACGGGAACGAUAAUGACGGUACCCGGAGAAGAAGCUGCGGCUAACUACGUGCCAGCAGCCGCGGUAAUACGUAGGCAGCAAACGUUGUUCGGAAUUACUGGGCGUAAAGAGUGUGUAGGCGGUUAGGUAAGUUUGGUGUGAAAUCUCCCGGCUUAACUGGGAGGGUGCGCCGAAAACUGCCUGGCUUGAGUACUGGAGAGGAUAGCGGAAUUCCUGGUGUAGCGGUGAAAUGCGUAGAUAUCAGGAGGAACACCUGCAGUGUAGACGGCUGUCUGGACAGUAACUGACGCUGAGACACGAAAGCGUGGGGAGCAAACAGGAUUAGAUACCCUGGUAGUCCAUGCCCUAAACGAUGCAUACUUGGUGUGGGUGAUUCAUUUUAUCCGUGCCGGAGCUAACGCGUUAAGUAUGCCGCCUGGGGAGUACGGUCGCAAGGGCUGAAACUCAAAG
RNAcentral lists this ribosomal RNA (800 nucleotides) under uncultured bacterium. Its description in RNAcentral is "bacterial SSU rRNA". It matches the Rfam family "Bacterial small subunit ribosomal RNA", at positions 73 to 906 of the family's 1533-position model. The record is from RNAcentral.